Molecule: ribosomal RNA, 465 nt
Filed under: Vreelandella stevensii
Lineage: Bacteria; Pseudomonadati; Pseudomonadota; Gammaproteobacteria; Oceanospirillales; Halomonadaceae
Description: partial 16S ribosomal RNA
Rfam family: Bacterial small subunit ribosomal RNA
Source: RNAcentral
CCUACGGGGGGCAGCAGUGGGGAAUAUUGGACAAUGGGGGGAACCCUGAUCCAGCCAUGCCGCGUGUGUGAAGAAGGCCCUCGGGUUGUAAAGCACUUUCAGUGAGGAAGAACGCCUGGUGGUUAAUACCCAUCAGGAAAGACAUCACUCACAGAAGAAGCACCGGCUAACUCCGUGCCAGCAGCCGCGGUAAUACGGAGGGUGCGAGCGUUAAUCGGAAUUACUGGGCGUAAAGCGCGCGUAGGUGGCUUGAUAAGCCGGUUGUGAAAGCCCCGGGCUCAACCUGGGAACGGCAUCUGGAACUGUCAAGCUAGAGUGCAGGAGAGGAAGGUAGAAUUCCCGGUGUAGCGGUGAAAUGCGUAGAGAUCGGGAGGAAUACCAGUGGCGAAGGCGGCCUUCUGGACUGACACUGACACUGAGGUGCGAAAGCGUGGGUAGCAAACAGGAUUAGAUACCCUAGUAGUC